Dromaius novaehollandiae (emu) is the source of this 1231-nucleotide long non-coding RNA. RefSeq lists it as uncharacterized. The record is from RefSeq and is a predicted model, not a curated record. NCBI's taxonomy places the organism in Eukaryota, Metazoa, Chordata, Aves, Casuariiformes, Dromaiidae. The transcript has 2 exons.
AAGAAAGAUACAUCUUGAUGCCAGGAGUUUCUAGAAGGCUUCUAUACAAUGAAGCCAUAAGAAGUCAGUUAAACUGAUCUGGGGAUGCCCGGUGGAGGAUGAAGUUAAGGGGUAUUUUAAUGGCCACUACAUCCACCAUUUAUUCGUAGAUUUUUUCCACUGAUUUUGUGUUAGGAAAUUGUUGAAAUGAGUCUUCAUGUAAUAAUAUGCAGCAAUAUGUUAUCUUUGAGGUAAAAAUGUUCCUGCUUUAGGUUUUGAUAAUUCAUGCCUAAAACCUAGAGCAUAUAAAAUGUUUUAUUUACUGUGAUUUGCAGGGAUAUUACUCAAUGGCAAGGUUACAUUGACCUAUCAUUUCAUGCAUCAAUGGUUCUUCUAUUGCACUGAUUUGAUCAAGCCUAGUGGAUAAAAGAGGAGCAAUCCACCCAGUGGAUCAAAUUAGAAUUAUAAUAAAAAGUGCACAUACUGAAGGGCAGAGUAGGUUAUGUAUGGUACUUACUAUAGUUGGCAUCAUUUUUUGCAAUCCAAAUAAAUUUUCUAGCAGCUUUCUUUGUAAAUAUUUGUUCAAACUUUAUAUUGAAAUUUUGUGUUUUGAUUUUAUGUAGUUGUUAGUGAUGCUGUAGUUACAGUUGAGGAAAAAAAGUAAUAUUUCAGCUAAUGGAGGCUUUUUUAGGUUAGGUACUUAUAAAAGUGUGAUAAACUUUUUGGCUUUGAAUUCACAAUAACUUCCUGAUGUCUCUUUGCUGUGCAACUUCAGAGAUUGCCGUUGGUCCUUAAACUGAAGAACUCCCUAUUUUGCAGUCAUAAAAUGUCACAUAAUUCACAGGAUUACAAAAUCACAGCAUCAUUGGAGUUGGAAGGGACCAUGGGAGAUCAUCUGGUCCAACACACCUGCUGAAGCAGAGUCACCUAGGUCAGGUUGCCCAGGACCAUGUUCUGUUGGGUUUUGAAUAUCUCCAAGGAUGGAGGCUCCACAGCCUUUCUGGGCAACCUGUUCCAGUGCAAUUCAUCAUAGUUACCUUGUCUGGGACCUGUCAGACAGAGGAAAAGGGACUGCAUGGCCUACAGCCCCCUUGUACUUCUAGAGCACGCUUGUUCCCACUCUUUCUCCUUGAGUGGCGAAAAUAGUUCAGUGAAUGAGGAGGAGCUGUUUACUCUCUAUUCUCUCCUAGAUGAGUCUUACACUGCUCUUAUCCAAGGCACAAUUGUUUAAAAAGGACAGCGACCAAGAAGG